GUCACCCCCUUCCAGUAUCCAGUAGUGGGUAUUCAGUUACUUACUAUUGUGUGUUGGUCAUUUACUGUGAGAAAAUUAGAGUGUUCAAAGCAGGCGUUUGCUUGAAUAGAUUAGCAUGGAAUAAUAAUUGAAGGCUUUCGUGUUCGAUUUGAUUGGUUUGUUCAUGGAAGCAAGGUUAAAAGGAACAGUUGGGGGUAUUCAUAUUCACUAGUUAGAGGUGAAAUUCUCGGAUUUAUGGAAGAUGAACAA
This 249-nucleotide ribosomal RNA is filed under the name Blastocystis sp. subtype 1. RNAcentral's name for it is "partial 18S ribosomal RNA". It matches the Rfam family "Eukaryotic small subunit ribosomal RNA", at positions 693 to 942 of the family's 1831-position model. The record is from RNAcentral. Lineage: Eukaryota; Bigyra; Opalinata; Blastocystidae.